Long non-coding RNA from Actinia tenebrosa (Australian red waratah sea anemone), 491 nucleotides. RefSeq lists it as uncharacterized. Lineage: Eukaryota; Metazoa; Cnidaria; Anthozoa; Actiniaria; Actiniidae. The record is from RefSeq and is a predicted model, not a curated record.
AAGUAUGCAAAUCUGAUCAAGUUAACGUUUACACAAGUAUUGAACUAUGAUGGAGACCAAAAAAACCUCCAAAUGAUAAAUUUUGAGCUACGUUUUGCAGCUGAACACCAUGGAUCAAGCGUGAUGAUCUACACGGUUAACUUGAUGGACUUACAGACUAACCACUUUUGCAACGGUACUUUCUCAUUACCCUCAUCUCUUUCCUGUACCUGGUUGAACAGCAGCAGUUGUAUGAUGUCGUACACCAUUCUAAACAACUCGUGCAAGGCUCUCAGUAGGCUCAUCAAUGGUCCAAUAACAGCUUCGUUUAGAUCACUCAUCGUGUCCAGUGCUGCAAUGUAGUGCUUCAAUACUGUACGUACGUUGUAAAUCUUGUAAUAAGAAAAUCCCAAAGUCUACUGUGUUUUUAUCCCAGACUAUUUAAAUACAAGUGGUGCUCCUAUUGGGUUUUAUAAAAUAAUUAGUUAUAAAAUAAAUUGAAUAGUACGUAC